This is a long non-coding RNA of Dunckerocampus dactyliophorus (ringed pipefish), 528 nucleotides long. RefSeq lists it as uncharacterized. NCBI's taxonomy places the organism in Eukaryota, Metazoa, Chordata, Actinopteri, Syngnathiformes, Syngnathidae. The transcript is spliced from 2 exons. The record is from RefSeq and is a predicted model, not a curated record.
GUUAUCAUGAAGUACUGUGCCUUUAAGAAUAGCACGGUGUGGUUUUCAGCUGAGCGUGCGCGCUCCCGCGACCUGCAUGCAGAUCUCGGCAUGGAUGCCAAACUCGGCACAACACCGGAUCACUUGCUGCGCUUUGGAGGCUUGAAGCCUUGUAAUGCCAUUAAUUGCACAAAUCGUGAUACUCGUGAAAAUCGCGAGAAGGGACUUACAUUUCACAGAUUUCCACACUGCAAUGCUCAACUUCUAAAGCAAUGGGUAGUAAAUAUGCGGAGAGACAGGUGGAUUCCUGCAGCAGAUCGCAACUCUGUUCAAGUCAUUUCACCGAGGAGAACUUCGACAAGACCGGUCAAGACUGUUAGAUUAGGACAAAAUGCAGUUCCAACAAUAUUUGCCUUUCCUGAUCAUCUUCUAGCAUUUAACUUUGCUACUAUGUAGAUCCUUAUCAUAACAAAUACCUUGUGAACACUGAAAUUGACUUGUUAUGCAUUGUAAUAAAUUACAACAUAAUAAAUGUAGUGAAUGAAGAUA